AAAAAGUGGAAAACAGCUGGUCCUCAGGAUCCUCCAGCCUUUGCCAAGGAAAAGUGGUUUUAAUCACUGAAGAAUGAGGCUUCAACAUAUGGAAAGACUGUAAGGUGUUCCUGGACAGCAAGUGAGUGACUUGCUCACAGGCGGUAAUUCAGGGACCCAGGUUUCUUCUACCUGGUAGCUCUACUGUCCUUCAGAACCUCAGAGCCCUGUGCAUUCAGCCAGCAGGAGAAAGACCACUACUAAGGUCAUUCACUUUGGGAGAAGCCAGUCUUCAUGCCAUGAGGACGUUCAGGCAGCCCUGUGGAGAGAACCACAUGGAAAGGAUCUGAGGUCUCUCACCAGCACCAAUUUGCCAGCUAUGGGAAUGGGCCACCUUGGAAGGAGACUGUCCAGCCCAAGUGAAGGCUGCAGAUAACUGCAGCUUUGGCCAACAUUUGGCUAUAUUGCUUUGGGAAAUCUCAAGCCAGAACCAUCUGGCCAAGCUGCUCUUAAAUUCCUGAUCCACAGA
This 508-nucleotide long non-coding RNA is filed under the name Homo sapiens (human). RNAcentral's name for it is "HSALNT0407066". The record is from RNAcentral. Lineage: Eukaryota; Metazoa; Chordata; Mammalia; Primates; Hominidae.